RNAcentral lists this ribosomal RNA (156 nucleotides) under uncultured Basidiomycota. RNAcentral's name for it is "5.8S ribosomal RNA". It matches the Rfam family "5.8S ribosomal RNA". From Rfam's summary of the family: 5.8S ribosomal RNA (5.8S rRNA) is a component of the large subunit of the eukaryotic ribosome. It is transcribed by RNA polymerase I as part of the 45S precursor that also contains 18S and 28S rRNA. The record is from RNAcentral. Lineage: Eukaryota; Fungi; Basidiomycota.
AAACUUUCAACAACGGAUCUCUUGGCUCUCGCAUCGAUGAAGAACGCAGCGAAAUGCGAUAAGUAAUGUGAAUUGUAGAUUUCAGUGAAUCAUCGAAUCUUUGAACGCACCUUGCGCUCUUUGGUAUUCCGAAGAGCAUGCCUGUUUGAGUGUCAU